Molecule: long non-coding RNA, 572 nt
Filed under: Ananas comosus (pineapple)
Lineage: Eukaryota; Viridiplantae; Streptophyta; Magnoliopsida; Poales; Bromeliaceae
Description: long non-coding RNA (ACOM_LNC014819)
Source: RNAcentral
UAUAUAUAUAUAUAUAUAUAUAUAUAUAUAUAUAUAGAGUCCGGCUACUAUACUUUUAUGAGUAUUGGCUUCCUUAUAAGUUUUUGGCCCUUAGAUUUAUUCCAUUGAUCAUUUCUACUCGUUAGAUCAUACUAUUAAACCAACUACCCACUCAACCCUAGGGGACCACUAUCAUUCUAACUGGGGACCACCAUCAUCCUAACCACACAUCCACUACAAAAAAAUAGGCCUAUACCAGCAGCCAAAACUGCUGGUAAAGAAUACGAAAACUGCUGGUAAUAUUUGCUCCAGCAGUUCUAAAACUGCUGGUAAAAGUGCAGGUGACCGCUACAAUAUCCUUGCUGGUAUAACCUUUUCCCAGCACUUUUACUAACCAUCAGUGAAGAUGGUCUAUAGCAACAGUUCUUAAAUCGUCGCUAAAAGUACAAGAAAAACACUAGCAUAAGGCGCAUAUACCGACAGUUUUUGACCGCUAGCAAUUUGAAACUAAUAUUAAAAAAAAAUACUAAUAUCAACAAAUUACAAUAGGAUUUUUUUCAUUUGAUAUUAAUUGUAAAACCUACAAUCUGUAG